This 496-nucleotide ribosomal RNA is filed under the name uncultured bacterium. RNAcentral's name for it is "partial 16S ribosomal RNA". It matches the Rfam family "Bacterial small subunit ribosomal RNA", at positions 28 to 507 of the family's 1533-position model. The record is from RNAcentral.
GAUGAACGCUGGCGGCGUGCCUAAUACAUGCAAGUCGAGCGAACAGACGAGGAGCUUGCUCCUCUGACGUUAGCGGCGGACGGGUGAGUAACACGUGGAUAACCUACCUAUAAGACUGGGAUAACUUCGGGAAACCGGAGCUAAUACCGGAUAAUAUAUUGAACCGCAUGGUUCAAUAGUGAAAGACGGUUUUGCUGUCACUUUAAGUUGGUCCCCGCCGCAUUAGCUUGUUGGUAAGGUAACGGCUUACCAGGGCGACGAUGCGUAGCCGACCUGAGAGGGUGAUCGGCCACACUGGAACUGAGACACGGUCCAGACUCCUACGGGAGGCAGCAGUAGGGAAUCUUCCGCAAUGGGCGAAAGCCUGACGGAGCAACGCCGCGUGAGUGAUGAAGGUCUUCGGAUCGUAAAACUCUGUUAUUAGGGAAGAACAAAUGUGUAAGUAACUAUGCACGUCUUGACGGUACCUAAUCAGAAAGCCACGGCUAACUACGUG